AAUAUAUAACUUUACUGGAAGAUACUUUCUUGAUAUCUUUUGGGUUUGGCUCCCAAUUCAUAUAAAAUCCAUUUAUAAGAGAAUUGAUAUUUACUGAAGCACUUUGAGCAACCCUUAACAACCCCGAUUUGACUCAUUGUGAAUGGCUGAUAAAAUAAUAUAAAAGCAAUAUGUUUUUUCUCCUCAUUUUUGCUUCUUUUCUUCCCCGAGUCUGUCUCUCUCUUCUCAUCACACACAAAACGGCAAAUCGCCACCGAUUGAUACAACAAAUCGGAAAAUCAGUGGUUGAGGAAAACGAUGGCCACUCCGAUCGACUUAAGCGUGAGAUGUGACGCUUCGGUUCUCACAACGACCUACCUCCUUCUGCGACAUCGACGGCUGCCGUUACUUCUGAUGGCUCUUAUGUGAACGGCGAGGUCCACCGGGAGACGAAUCGGACAGAGAAGGUUUGUAUUCUCAUCACUUAAUUAUUGAUCUCGUUGUUAAUGUUAGAGCUUAGGUAAAAUUCGAUUUGAUUGUGAGAGUGGGUACUGUUUGAUGUUUAAUUGGUUUGUGAUUUGUAUGGGUUUACGGGUUGGGGCUUAAAUUGAUUGUUCAUCAGCUUCACAUUGGGAGUGGAUUCUCGUAGUUGAAAAGAAGAUGGUUACCUUCGGGAAGAAGCUCAAGGAACGGAGCAUUCAAGAAUGUCAAGGAUAUUACACCAAUUACAAACUGAUGAAGAGAUCUAGGUGAAGCAGUACAGUCGCCAGCUAGAACCAGAACAGUCCUAGUUCUGGAGUUGGAAUAAGGACAAAGGACACACUUGUCCUAUAAAAGCAAAGGAAUGUUAUUGUCUAGUAAACUGGAUUUGUGUAAAAACUGAAAAGGCUUGUAUUAAAAGGGUGUGUCCCUUGCUGGACCUGAUGGUCGUGUCUUUGGUGGUGGACUUGCUGGUCUCUUUAUAACCGCUGAUCCUGUUCAGGUGAUGGUAGGGAGCUUUGCAUCGGGUCAGGAGGAAACGCAGCAGCAGCAGCAGAUAAAGAAGCAAAGAAGGGAAAGACUCGGGGUCCCGACAUCAACACAAGCUUCUAAACAUCUCAUUCGGUGGAUCAGCGGAAGAUCCAAAGGCUAGAUACGGGCUCAACAAGCCUGUUGUUAUUUAACCACCAACCGUGUCUGCACCACCACCUGUGUCCUUUUCGCAUGAGCCAAGUACUAACACAACGAAUCUGACAUCGAGGUUCCAAGCUGAUGAUUUGAUGGAGUGACUCCCCUGACAUUGAUCAACCAUGAUCUUGAGUUGCUGCGGCGGUUUAUCUUUGAUGUCUUUUGAUUUGUUUAGAGUGUAAUUAUAAUGGUAUUUUUUUCUCAGAUUGUAGCUGUUUUUCGUAAACAGAGAUGUGUAGUUGCAGCUAUGUCAAAAGUAUAUUAUAAUUGGUGUGUUCUCAAAAACUCUAUUUUAAUCUAUAAUAAUAUAAUAUGUUCACUGAA
Long non-coding RNA from Camelina sativa (false flax), 1470 nucleotides. RefSeq lists it as uncharacterized. NCBI's taxonomy places the organism in Eukaryota, Viridiplantae, Streptophyta, Magnoliopsida, Brassicales, Brassicaceae. The record is from RefSeq and is a predicted model, not a curated record.